GGAGAGGUGGCAGAGUGGUCGAUUGCGGCGGUCUUGAAAACCGUUGGACUGCGAGGUACCCGGGGUUCGAAUCCCUGUCUCUCCGCAA
Molecule: transfer RNA, 88 nt
Filed under: Butyricimonas sp.
Lineage: Bacteria; Pseudomonadati; Bacteroidota; Bacteroidia; Bacteroidales; Odoribacteraceae
Description: tRNA-Ser
Rfam family: tRNA
About the family: Transfer RNA (tRNA) molecules are approximately 80 nucleotides in length. Their secondary structure includes four short double-helical elements and three loops (D, anti-codon, and T loops). Further hydrogen bonds mediate the characteristic L-shaped molecular structure. tRNAs have two regions of fundamental functional importance: the anti-codon, which is responsible for specific mRNA codon recognition, and the 3' end, to which the tRNAs corresponding amino acid is attached (by aminoacyl-tRNA synthetases). tRNAs cope with the degeneracy of the genetic code in two manners: having more than one tRNA (with a specific anti-codon) for a particular amino acid; and 'wobble' base-pairing, i.e. permitting non-standard base-pairing at the 3rd anti-codon position.
Source: RNAcentral